This 395-nucleotide ribosomal RNA is filed under the name uncultured bacterium. RNAcentral's name for it is "bacterial SSU rRNA". It matches the Rfam family "Bacterial small subunit ribosomal RNA", at positions 505 to 898 of the family's 1533-position model. The record is from RNAcentral.
GUGUCAGCAGCCGCGGUAAUACAGAGGUCCCGAGCGUUGUUCGGAUUCACUGGGCGUAAAGGGUGCGUAGGUGGUGAGGUAAGUCGGAUGUGAAAUCUCCAGGCUCAACCUGGAAACUGCAUUGGAAACUACCUUGCUUGAGGGUUUGAGGGGGGACUGGAAUUCUCGGUGUAGCAGUGAAAUGCGUAGAUAUCGAGAGGAACACCAGUGGCGAAGGCGAGUCCCUGGAAAACACCUGACACUGAGGCACGAAAGCUAGGGGAGCAAACAGGAUUAGAUACCCUGGUAGUCCUAGCCCUAAACGGUGCUUGCUUGCUGUAAGUGGAAUCGACCCCACUUGUGGCGGAGCUAACGCGUUAAGCAAGCCGCCUGGGAAGUACGGUCGCAAGAUUAAA